Acipenser ruthenus (sterlet) is the source of this 8548-nucleotide long non-coding RNA. RefSeq lists it as uncharacterized. Lineage: Eukaryota; Metazoa; Chordata; Actinopteri; Acipenseriformes; Acipenseridae. The transcript has 3 exons. The record is from RefSeq and is a predicted model, not a curated record.
CCAGAAAAGGAAUACAUGAUGAGCUGAGUGCAAUGGCUGCACUCAGCGUUUAUUUAACAAAUAAAAGGGUUGUAAACAGCACAAAACAGGACACGGCACUGGUAGCCAAAAGAAACAUAUAAACAAAACGGACUAAACACUUAACAAACGGUGCACGGAGACAAACAAACACGACCUACAGAAACAACACUGCAGGAAGGCUAGCAGUCGACGGACCGAUCGCUCUGCUCAGCUCACCGCUACCACCCCUGCGCUGACUCGGGAGCGGCGAAGAUGAACACACUCUGUCCUCCAAAGCGUAUGCCGUCAGCCGACCGUUUCUUUUCACUCUGCAGGCCCACCAUGCAGCCAAACCAGAGCUACAGCAUCGGAGGACAACGCAGCUCUGGGCACAUUACAGGCAAGCCCGCAGGCGCCCGGCCAGACUACAGGGGCUGCUUGUGUGCAGUGAGCCGAGGACCCCCUGGCCGACCUAAGCCCUACCCUCCCCCCGGGAGCUCCCGUCCACGGUCAGAGGUGGAAUAGUCCUACACAUACCUUAUUUCUGUAAUAUCGGCAGUUUUCUUUUUCGUUUUUUAAAAAAUUGUAUAUACAUUAAAUAUGAGGUUUUAUGAUAAUUUAGUCUUCGGGCAUCUGCAGCUUAAUUUUAAGCUGUUUCCAAAUAAGUACUGCACUGUAGAAUAGGUUAUGACUUAUUAUAGCCUGUCACACCCCAGGGAAUCAAGUGACAUUACCACAGUGACUUCACUUUUGAUUUCAGGGAUUUAGAACACUGAGCCACUUAAUCAAUAGGGUUCAAACCGGGUGAUUCAUUACAAGAGAGUGCUUGUAAUGCAUGGGUCUGUUCAGAAAUCUAGUCAACACCCUGUGACUGGUAAGCCAAAUCCAAGACAUUUCCCACUUUUUAACAUGUGGUACUCUUUUAAAGACAUUAUAAGAAUAUUUACCACUUUAAAUUCCUCCCAAUGAUAUUUGUGCUUUUAUUUAACUGUAUUAAGCGACCACCAGUCUAACGUGACCAGCGACCACAAUUCUCUUACCCAGCAAUGGACUCAAACCUGUAUUAAGAACCCUUAUACAGGGCUAUUUUAUGAAAAAUAUGGUUUCAAAUGGUACGUCCUAAAUUCAAAGGGAUAGAGUAACCAUUUUAGUGGUCUUUUAUCCAUAAUCAAUAAAACAACAGCGCUCUCUUAUAAAGGAAGAGAGAAAAUGUAGAGAAACAAAAGGGCCUUCCUAGAUGUCAGAAUUAAAGUUAUUAAACUUGUAAAGACGGUCAGGUGCCAGAAAAACUGCUGAAAAAUUUGGCACUAGAAAGACGCAGAUACAGCAUUUUGAAACGGAAAGAACUAGGGCUUGAAGUUUUAGGUUUUUGUUUUUGUUCACGUGACCGUGUUUUGAGCCGAUUCAAUAUCUAAAUUAAACUGUUAAUUACUAAUCAAAGUCGCUUCUUUUUACCUUGAUGUCCUGAUUGACUUGCUGAUUCUGUUUCACCUUCUUCAUUAUUCGAACACAAGAGCAAGCAAUGACAUUAAUCACUUCCCCCAGAUGCUACUUUAACUUGCAUUUCGUUCUCACACUUGCCUGGGAACUAGAUAUCUUCCAAUGUGCCUGUUUCGUGUUGUGUUGUUCAACAUGUACUUGAAAGGCAGACACAGGCACUGAAAUUUGAAAAGGAUUUAAAACAUUUCGUGUGACCUGAGACAGGCAAACAUUCAUAACUUUCACACAAUAAUUUGUUUUGUAAAUGCAUUAUCUAAUUGAAUGUUAUCAAAUUACAUACUUCCUUUUGUUCAUAUUACAUCUUCUGGCUUUUACAGUGUAUGUAAGACAUACAUAACUACAGGAAAGCAUGUCAGAGACAAAUAGAAAAUUCAUAAGUUAUGGGCCCUCUUUUAAGAGACCACCUGUGUUAAGAGGCCACUAUUUGAAUGUCCCUUGAGUGGUCUCUUAAUACAGGGUUUACUGUACAGUUAAUUAUACAAACAACAACACCAGAGUAAGGUUGUAAGCUUUCAAUUACAUUUUCUUUGUAUACUGGGAUCUCGGGAACCUGUGUCUCCUGGCUGUCCACUUACCUAUCUGGACGCAUGCAGUCUGUUUUCUAUGAUGGAAACAGUGCAGACGCAAACCCGGUCACUUGCGGUGUCCCUCAAGGAUCUGUUCUUGGGCCUCUUCUUUUCAACAUCUACAUGCUUGCUAACAUAGCCUCAUGUUUCACUCCUAUGCAGAUGACACCCAGCUCUACUAAAAAUUAGACCCUGGAAGUCCCUCUGCCAUGGUCCGGCUCUCAGCUUGCAUCCAAGACAUCGAGGCAUGGAUGUCUGACAACUUUCUUCAGCUCAACACUGACAAAUCUGAACUUCUAGUAGGAUCGAGAACUCAACUGAAGAAUCUCAAUAUUGUUGCCUUGAACCUCGGAAACUGUAUGCUGCUGCCUUCCCCCACCCCACUAUGAAGCCUUGGUGUACUUCUGGAUAGUAACCUUUCCUUUGAUGCCCAAAUCUCCUCUGUAGUCAAAUUCUCCUUCUACCACCUCCGAAACUCUCAAAGGUCCGUCCCUACCUUUCCCUCCCAGAUGCAGACACACUCUGUCAUGCAUUCAUUUCCUCUCGACUCGAACACUACAACUCUCUCUAGUGCUGCUGCUAGGAUCCUUACCAGAUGUAAAAAACAUGAUCACAUUACCCCCUGUCUUGCCCAGCUGCACUGGCUACCUGUAAAGUUCAGGAUUACUUUCGAAAUUCUCCUGCUUGCCUACAAGGCCCUUCAUCACACAGGUCCAGAGUAUCUCUCCAAUCUGCUGACCUGCUAUGUCCCUGCAUGCAAGCUGAGGUCCUCUGACUCAGGCUUGCUUGUUAUACCCAAGCAAAAGUGCACCACACUCGGAGAGCGCUCUUUUAGUUUCAUGGCCCCAACUCUCUCCCAGCUUUAGUGCGUGUGGCUCUGUGACCGAGCUGUUGUUGCAGUGACGUGUGGGUAGUGACGUCACGGACCAGGAAGUAAACAAAGGCAAUGAAUGGCGCUGGUGAAACUGAGCGCUACGGCGCUUAGUGUUUUUAUUAAAUCAAAAUUAAAUUAAAUCAAAUCAAAAGAUUUAAACAAACACAAAAAACUACAAAACAAAAAGGCGCGUUGGCUUUCAAUGCUCUUUGAGCCUGGUAUCUGUUAUUAACUGCUGUCUAAAUUGCUAUUUCAGGUUUUUCACUCUUAUUCGUAUGAUUCUGUAUGACACACGUAUCCACAAUGUUUAGAAUUCACAUCCUAGCCUUUUAUUUAAUGUAGUAUGCCUGUAUUUAGUGUAUUUGCGUUGUUUUUUUACUGUUUGUAUUUAAUGUACUAUGCCCUGUAUUUCACUGUAUUUAAUGUAUUAUGCAUUGUUCCUCACUAUCUUGUAAAGCGCUUUGUGAUGGUGGUCCACUAUGAAAGGCGCUAUAUAAACAUGCUUUCACUUCUCAAAAUACACUGUAGUAGUUUUUCAGGAAUUCAGGAUCGCUGUAAACCCAUGAAUCAAGCUAAGUACGAUACUAGAAGUAUAAGCGGUGCUGUUGGAUAGCUACCGACUGCAGACCCGUUAACAUUGCUUUGUUUUAUUUCAAUAACCACAUUUAUGUUUAAACAAUAUUAUUUACAAUUAUGGAGGAUAUAACCGUUACUCAGUGAAUGUUUUGUUUUAUUUAGACAAUUUCAAGUUAUUAAUUAAGAGCAUUUAAAAUUAUUAUUAUUAUUAUUAUUAUUAUUAUUAUUAUUAUUAUUUAAACAGCAAUGAAAAACAUCAGUUUGAGUAAAAUAAACUGUACAGGAAAUGGAUCAUUUGUAAAAGCAGUAAGGUGAGUAAUAAACUGACUCCAUUGUGAUUUAGCAGUUGGUUCAAACAAUUUAACAACAAUGGUGGAUUGUAAAUAAAUAUAAAACUAUAAAGAGAAUCCAGAAAUUGGAAAACAAGGUUUUUAUGCUGGGUUGUUUUUUGAAUGAUGAUGAUAUUAUUAAUAAUAAUAAUAAUAAUAAUAAUAAUAAUAAUAAUAAUAAUAAUACUUAAAUGAGAUAGCUGUAGUAAUUGUAUCAAAUAAAUAUGUGACUAAAACCAAGAUUAACUGAGAUUAAUUUUUUUAAUCUCAAAAUUAAUCGUGAAAGUUCAUGGUUGCCCAGCUCUAGAUACUAUUUAAUUUAGCUGAGUGUAGAAAACUUACCAUUCUUUACCACCAGAGGUUGCUAUUGGAAUUCAGAAAAAAUAUCAAGCUCAAAUAUGACCCUUGUCUAGUGCAAUGUAGAAGCAGCAUUUUUUACUUUUGUAGUUGUGAGUGCUAAGCAGUGGUAUUGUACACUUCCAUUUGUCCUAUAUAUUAAUUUUAUUAAAAGUGAAAAGCUCUAGGAAACUAACAACAGCUAAUGUGAAUGUUCAAAGCCAACCAAAAAAUCCACUUUAGGUCAAAGAUGUAGCCAUUUCCUAACUGCUAUAGUUUAUACACAAGUCAAGUGCUAAUAAACGCUGCAGACAAAAACAAUAUUCACAGCAGUAAAAUGAAUAUAUCAGGUCCUAACCAUAAUUCCUAUACAAAAAAAUGUCAGAAUUAUAAACCACCAACCUGGCAUCUCCAUAAACGUGAAAUACAUCACAACAUUUGUAAAAUAAGAGACGAAACAUCUCAGUGUGCUAAAAAAAUUAUUUCAAAUUCACACACUGAAAUAAAUAUAGUUUUGUCAGAACUAGCGAAAGCAAAGCAGUCAAGCCAGGCAUAUAAGAAUGUGAAUAAAGCAGACAGGUCAGCAGUUUGGGAAGAAUCUAGCAUUUCCUGUACAGUGUAUGCUCUCUAAAGUACUGAUGCUCUUACCUUUCUUACGUCAAGUAACGAUUCUUAAUUACAAUAACACCCCAAUUAAAGGGAAUAACCUUCUGUAUUAUGAAAAUGGUCUAAAUAACCAAUUUAGUAUAAUGGAAUUCAUGAACUAUAAUGGAAUUCAUGAACUAAAAUCGAACAAAAUUUAGUAUAAUGGAAUUCAUGAACUAAAAGAACAAAAUACAAGAUGAAAAUUUGAUGAAGAAAAAAAAAUCAUUACAAUAAUCGCUACAACUGCAGCUAUAAAUGAUAUUAUUUAAUAAUUCUAUCAUUUUUUAAAUGGAUGGGGCAAGCUUGAUUAAUUUUUAUUGACACUUGUAGAUAUAUUAGAUGCUUUCUGUCAAAAUGUGAUGGAUAGUGACCUUUGAUCUUUAUGAUAUAUAUAUAUAUAUAUAUAUAUAUAUAUAUAUCUAUUCUUUGCAAAAUAACUUUGUUAAUGUAACAGUUCAGUUAGGGUUGAUAAAAAGACAAAAAGUGCUCUAGACACCAACUGGUAGGCUGCCAGGGUUGUAUAUAUAUAUAAUCAUAACCAUAUUAAAUAUCAUUUAGAUUAAAUAAAGGUCAAAGGGCCAUCAGAUUUUGACAGAAGGCUUCUAAUGUAACUACUCACACUAUGGACCUUUACAUUGUCCAGGAAAUCUUUUAUUCUUAAACAACAGAUAGUUAUACAACAUCGCACUGGCUUGGUGUAUCUAAACAGAUGAUGAUGAUGAUGUAAACAUGCAUGGCUCCUUUGAAUCUCUGUAUAAGUGAAAAUGCAUCUUCUUAGACCUUGGCAGUAGGUGCAGCAACACUUUGCUGCUUGCUGUGCAGUAUUUUCCCACAAACAACACUUCAGUCGUUGUGCCUGACCCUGAUUUAUAUGCAACCUCACAGCCACGCUGUAUUUUACAAAUAUCUAGGAGCUGUGUGAUUAAUUAACAUCUAGUUCAUAGCCCUUGAAAUUAUUGCAGGAUCUCAGGAGCUAAUUAGCUUACUGUAAACCUUAUAGUAAUAAUAACAAUAGUUCAAAAUUUAACAGCAGUGAUGCCCAUUUCAUCAUAAUAAAUGGCUGGGGGUUUUAAAUAUUAACUCUAGAGUGAAAGAGACGUGAUAAAUAUGCAUGAAUGAUAGGCCUAAUGUGAUAUGUGGACCAAUCCCAGUUAUAUCGUCUUAGAAUAAAAAUGUACUUACUACACUGAUUUAAAUAAAAUGGUACAGAAUUAAUUAGAACCAUGAACAUUAAUGGAUGUUGUUUAAAAAAAAACAUUUAAUACAAAAAGCAUACUUCAAAUAUGCAAGAUUUUCUGAAUAUGAGAUGCAACUAAAUAUAUGUAUGUAAUUAUGAAUGUAUGUACAAUAUGUUAUGAAAUAUUACUCUAGUAGACACUACAGCAAUAGGGACUUUUAACAAGCAUUUAUUCAGUGGAUGAAAAUACAUUUUAAUGCAAUUCAUUAUUUCGAACCAAUAGUAUUCAUUCAUUCAUUAUACAUAAACAUUAUUAUAAUGUUUAUAUUUUUAGAUUUCUCAUCAGGAAAAUGUCCAAAGACAUUCACAUAGUUCCUAAAAUGAAGUAUGUCUAUUUACAAGUGUAUGUAAAUAGCUAAAACAAUUACUAAAUUAAUAAAUACAAAUAUACACGGAUGCACAGACAAUGUAAACACGUACAAUCUACCAAUUUUAAAUAUAAUGGAAAAACAAAUUACAAAUGUAGCUGCACAACACAGGUAGCAUCAAGCAAUAGAGAUUUUAAUCUCUUUCAAAUUGAUUGUAUUGAUGCCUGCAAAAAAUGACUACACAGUUUCUCAUGGGGUAUAAUUAGGAAAAACAGUAGGCCAAAAGCUGUACUUAUAUGUUCCAAAAAUGAGAAUAAAGGAGUUUGAGUAUUUUUUUGUUAUGUAAUGCUAUAUUUAUAAGGCAGUAUUUAUAAACACAUUUGCAUAUAUCAAGAUGAAAAAGUUGUUUGAAUUUGGGUAAUUUGCAUUUCUUGAAACAUAUGGCAUAGCAGUGAGAGCCAUGGGCCAUGCCUUCAUUAACUGAGCGUUGUUUCAUCACUAUCUCAGUUUCCUGCUGAGCCACCCUGUGGCGUAGCCUUCUGUCCCUGAGGUUUUAGUGACAAGGGACAAUAUGUCCCCAAGGUGAAAAUCUGGGGAAAUAUCUCAGAUCUGCUCUCCAAGGAGCUCAAAUGAUUAUUUAAUCAGACCUUAGUGGGGGAAAAAAGAAAAGACUUACAAAAUUCAGUGACUAGAAUACUGAUCGAUUUACAGAUAACAGAUUUGCAGGUAAAGUCUGGCACUUCUGAGCGUUAAGAGAACAUGAAUAGAGCAAUGCUAUGUUAAAAGUAUACUAAACAUCUGAACUGAAAGUAAUGGCUGUCAAUUUGUAAGUAGAACAAAACAGUUUGAAAUGCAAACUGUACAACUGAUUUGCAUGAUGCAGCUGAGCAGCAUUCGGAUAUUAAAACAUAUUUUUCAUCAUCAUUCUGUAACGUUAUCGGUUUGUUUAACCUUUUUCAAACUGUAAUGGUAUGUAAGCCAAGUGAAAGUCCCUGGAAUGAGCCAUGAUAAAUAAGGCUCAGUGGCUAAACCCUGCAUCUGUCAAAUUCCAGUGACCUCUCUUAGACAGUAGCUAAAUCAACUAAGUUUAGUGUGAGAAUUUAAGCCUUGUUUUAGUUGCUAUGCUUGUGAAAAAAAAAAGGUUAACCUACUUUAAAGUUCAUUGUUUCAAAGUUUAGGUUUGCAGUUGACAAGCUCAAUCGAGUUCAAUCAAAUCAUGAUUUGUAUUAAAGAAAAGUUAAGUAAAAGUUAAGACUUUUUUAUGGAAAAGAAGAGGUGACUUGAUGCAAUCUUUUUUAUAAAAUGAUGAAUGGGAUUGAAAGAUGGAAAGCACAAUAAUUAACCAAGGCUUGUUGGACCUGUUGACUUUUUAGUACAUUGACAAUAGAUUAGUCUAUUUUGUGUUAAUGUGUUUUGGUUAUGAUUUCAGGAGCUGCUCUUCAAUUCACGUUACCUGCCACAGGCAUAUGUAAUGUAGGCUACUUUAGCCAAGGUGUCUUUAUAUUAAUAAGCUCUGACACUUUCAGAUGUACUGCAGUGUAUUGCCAUCAAAACAAAGAGAAACUUUAUCAAAAAUGUCGAUCAUUAGAUCACUAGUCCUUGUUUUUAAUGUGAAAUCCAAGUUCAAGUUUACUUCCCACCUGCCACAGCCCCAUUUUACACCUGGUGUCUAUUUUAAACACAUUUAUACUGUAGUAAGGUGUGAUUUGUGGUGUGUUCUGGUUUUACUAAAUAUGUAAUAUGUAUUAACUUUUUAUUUUCUAAUAUCACAAACUAAUUAUUUAAUUUUGGUAAUGUUUAUAAUUUCACUGUUUCUGCUGUUUGUAAAAUAAAAGGCAGAUGGCAAAAAUGACAUCAUGAAUAUACUGUCAAAAAGGCGUUAAGGUAUUCACUUUUAUGUGUUCAAUAAAUUGUGACAGCCCUUAAAAGCAGGUUCCCCCUUUUAGAUUUCAGAUUUUAUCAUUAGUCAAGUGGUUGCUCAGGUGAUAACAUUGUUUGCUGUUGUAUGGCUUUGAAGUUACCCAUUGGUGGCAGAUGAAGUUUUCUGAUUGUCUAGACCAGUGGUGCGCAAAGUAAACCUCAUGUUCUUACUUUAUGAAAACGUGUCUAUGGCCAUUGUUUACUGUAAAAAGUGAAAAAAAAUAUAAAAUGCAGCGUCAACAUUAUGUACUAUUUAU